Long non-coding RNA from Triticum aestivum (bread wheat), 1148 nucleotides. RefSeq lists it as uncharacterized. The record is from RefSeq and is a predicted model, not a curated record. The transcript is spliced from 2 exons. NCBI's taxonomy places the organism in Eukaryota, Viridiplantae, Streptophyta, Magnoliopsida, Poales, Poaceae.
CCCGUGUAGCUAGGGAUCUGGCGCCGCCUGGUCGAGAAGCUCCCGGCGCUGGACCUGUGCUCCAACAGCCCUUGCUUGUCCGGCAGCUCGUCAGAGGCGUCCGAGCCGUUGCCGAUCGGGAGUCCCAUGUCCAUGCCUCCUCCUCUCCGGCGAUGGGAAGUCCCAGAUUCCCCGCCUCUCCUCCGCUGACCUCGGGGCCACGGCCCACGGCUGACCGCAUGCGGCACCAGCUGGACGGCGACCACUGGCUCAUCCGCCGCCACCGCCUCAGCCUCGACGUCCUGCUCGGGCACGAUCUUCACAGUGAACACAAGUUACACAACAGCCAUAUUUCUUCAAGCCACCCAUGUGCCGCAGUUUAUCGAAGCCUGAAUCUCUUCCAAGGUCUUGCCUUUUGUCUCCGGCACGAUCUUCACAAUGAAGAGAAUAGCCAUGGCACAAACAAAGGCGAAGAAGAAGAAUGUUCCUGCAAGAUGAUUUGCAUAUCAGACAAAUGUCCCUGGAUGAUUCAAGCAACACCAUAGGGGGCUGAUGUAGAUUUGGCUGACCUGAAGCACUCCAGCUCAUGAGGAAGUUGAAGGCGAAGGAAACUGUCAAUGAAGCCAACCAGUUCACCAGAGUCACGAAGCUUCCGCCGAUUCCUUUUAUAUUAAUGGGGAAUAUCUGCGUCCAAUCCGAUCGACCAUGUCAAGGAGUGCUAAUCUCGAGCGAUGAAGAAAUUUGAUUGUUCUGAAGUGUGAACUCUAAACCUCUGACAUUAUGACCCAAGGAACGGAACCCAUCCCUAGUGAAUAGCUUGCAAUGUAGACCUGUUUCAGUCAUAUUACAAAAGGAUUUAGCGUGGAAAAAAGUUCAGAUAAGCAUCGGGUCACUUGUUGAGCAAAACAAAGGCUUUUCUGGUGUACCAAUAUGCUGGUGAGUGUGAUGAUUGGGACUUGCUCCGGGAGUAUCCCGUGAACCUACACUCAGCAGAUAUUCUUCAACUUGAUGAAGUUUUGAUACAAAAGGAAUUAAAGGAUAUAAAAGAGCACCAGCAGAUAUGCAAUGAAAGUUACCUUAAGGUAGAAUGAUACUGCUGACAUAAGAGUCCCGACGAUGAGUCCGGAUGUGGAAACCUGCAGAAAAUAAAAUGAAAUGACAGUUCAGAA